GAUUGAACGCUGGCGGCAUGCCUUACACAUGCAAGUCGAACUGUAACAGGGAGCUUGCUCCGCUGACGAGUGGCGAACGGGUGAGUAAUAUAUCGGAACGUACCAUUCAGUGGGGGAUAACGUAGCGAAAGUUACGCUAAUACCGCAUAUUCUGUGAGCAGGAAAGCAGGGGAUCGCAAGACCUUGCGCUGAUUGAGCGGCCGAUAUCAGAUUAGCUUGUUGGUGAGGUAAAAGCUCACCAAGGCGACGAUCUGUAGCGGGUCUGAGAGGAUGAUCCGCCACACUGGAACUGAGACACGGUCCAGACUCCUACGGGAGGCAGCAGUGGGGAAUUUUGGACAAUGGGGGCAACCCUGAUCCAGCCAUGCCGCGUGAGUGAAGAAGGCCUUCGGGUUGUAAAACUCUUUCAGCCGGGAAGAAAACGCAUGGGUUAAUACCCUGUGCGGAUGACGGUACCGGAAUAAGAAGCACCGGCUAACUACGUGCCAGCAGCCGCGGUAAUACGUAGGGUGCGAGCGUUAAUCGGAAUUACUGGGCGUAAAGCGUGCGCAGGCGGUUUUGUAAGACAGGCGUGAAAUCCCCGGGCUUAACCUGGGAACUGCGUUUGUGACUGCAAGGCUAGAGUACGGCAGAGGGGGGUGGAAUUCCACGUGUAGCAGUGAAAUGCGUAGAGAUGUGGAGGAACACCAAUGGCGAAGGCAGCCCCCUGGGUCGAUACUGACGCUCAUGCACGAAAGCGUGGGUAGCAAACAGGAUUAGAUACCCUGGUAGUCCACGCCCUAAACGAUGUCAACUAGGUGUUGGGAGGGUAAAACCUUUAGUACCGGAGCUAACGCGUGAAGUUGACCGCCUGGGGAGUACGGCCGCAAGGUUAAAACUCAAAGGAAUUGACGGGGACCCGCACAAGCGGUGGAUGAUGUGGAUUAAUUCGAUGCAACGCGAAAAACCUUACCUACCCUUGACAUGCCAAGAACUUUCCAGAGAUGGAUUGGUGCCCGAAAGGGAACUUGGACACAGGUGCUGCAUGGCUGUCGUCAGCUCGUGUCGUGAGAUGUUGGGUUAAGUCCCGCAACGAGCGCAACCCUUGUCGUUAAUUGCCAUCAUUUAGUUGGGCACUUUAACGAGACUGCCGGUGACAAACCGGAGGAAGGGGGGGAUGACGUCAAGUCCUCAUGGCCCUUAUGGGUAGGGCUUCACACGUCAUACAAUGGUCGGUACAAAGGGUCGCCAAGCCGCGAGGUGGAGCCAAUCCCAGAAAGCCGAUCGUAGUCCGGAUCGCAGUCUGCAACUCGACUGCGUGAAGU
This 1304-nucleotide ribosomal RNA is filed under the name metagenome. RNAcentral describes it as "bacterial SSU rRNA". It matches the Rfam family "Bacterial small subunit ribosomal RNA", at positions 27 to 1326 of the family's 1533-position model. The record is from RNAcentral.